CGGGGCCAGGGCAGGUACGAAGAUGUCAGCCAAGUCCAGGAUGGAGGACUGUGGAGGGGAGAGGCAGCGGCGGCUCAGAAGUGGGCGGGGCCUGGAGGGAGGGCAGGCCCUGACCUGUCAGGCUAAUGCCAGUUCAUUCUCUUUAUUCAUUCCACAGAUACCUAUUCAUGAUCCCUCACCUCUGCACAGUGCUUUACAGUUUAUAAUGUUUCUUCAUCCACAGAGUACCUGAUUUUCAUAACAACCCUGUGAGGCUCUCUGUCCCGCUGACGGUGGACCAUGGCCCCUGCACCAUUGGCCAUGGGGGAGCCAUCACCCCGCCAGGACCUCACCUCCUGCAGAAGGCACAGAAAGAGUUAGGAGCAUGAGCAGGUCAGGCGGGAAUCCGGGGACCUGUGCACCGGAGGCUGGAGUCGAGAGAGUGCAGGGUGGGAGGCAGCUGAGAGGUUAGGAGCAGCAGGGCCACCGGGUACAGCGGGAGGAGCCUGUUAGUGCCCUGAAGCACCUCCACCAGCAGCAGCAGCAGCACCGGCAGCCCAGCGGGCUCGGCCCACUACCUUCUCGUGCUCCUGCCGGCUCAGGCGCAGAGCCAGCUGCAGCUGCAGGUCCUCGUCCCUGUGGGAGGCUGGGGGGACAGGCUGCGGAGGAAGAGAGGGGUAAACUUGGCCCUGUACCCCCACCUUGGGACCAGAAGGGCAGUAUAGGCCUGCCUGGGUCAUGGGGAUGGAGACACUAAUGCCCACCCUCAGUGUGCAUGGGCCAUUUGCCCCUUAGUCGGCAGGGUGGGCGUGGCCUUCUCCCUGCCUGCAUCUGAAAUGCAGUUUAAAGGUCAGGAAGACUGAUCUUUCGCUUCUGAAUCCUCUGAGAGUUCCUCAGGCCCUCCUGUCUGAGGCCCAGCUGCUUCCUGCCUGGUCUUCCUGGAUCCACAGAGGUAACGGCAAAGAUGAUGAUAUCGGGGGCCUGUCCUUGUCUCCCCAAAAGGAUAGCUGGUGGGCGGGGGCGGGAAGCAUAUCCCAGUGUCUCCUAGGAAUAUGUCUGAGCACACUCACCCACUCCACCAUGAGGUGGUAGCAGGCACCCCAAGACAUAGCAUGUGC
This 1097-nucleotide long non-coding RNA is filed under the name Pan troglodytes (chimpanzee). Its description in RNAcentral is "long non-coding RNA NONPTRT007248". The record is from RNAcentral. Lineage: Eukaryota; Metazoa; Chordata; Mammalia; Primates; Hominidae.